RNAcentral lists this ribosomal RNA (518 nucleotides) under Fusarium chlamydosporum. Its description in RNAcentral is "eukaryotic LSU rRNA". The stretch from base 139 to 292 matches the Rfam family "5.8S ribosomal RNA". Lineage: Eukaryota; Fungi; Ascomycota; Sordariomycetes; Hypocreales; Nectriaceae. The record is from RNAcentral.
UGCUACUCCAACCCCUGUGACAUACCAAUUGUUGCCUCGGCGGAUCAGCCCGCUCCCGGUAAAACGGGACGGCCCGCCAGAGGACCCCUAAACUCUGUUUCUAUAUGUAACUUCUGAGUAAAACCAUAAAUAAAUCAAAACUUUCAACAACGGAUCUCUUGGUUCUGGCAUCGAUGAAGAACGCAGCAAAAUGCGAUAAGUAAUGUGAAUUGCAGAAUUCAGUGAAUCAUCGAAUCUUUGAACGCACAUUGCGCCCGCCAGUAUUCUGGCGGGCAUGCCUGUUCGAGCGUCAUUUCAACCCUCAAGCCCCCGGGUUUGGUGUUGGGGAUCGGCGAGCCCUUGCGGCAAGCCGGCCCCGAAAUCUAGUGGCGGUCUCGCUGCAGCUUCCAUUGCGUAGUAGUAAAACCCUCGCAACUGGUACGCGGCGCGGCCAAGCCGUUAAACCCCCAACUUCUGAAUGUUGACCUCGGAUCAGGUAGGAAUACCCGCUGAACUUAAGCAUAUCAAUAGCGGAGGAA